GGGGUUGCAGCUCAGGGGUAGAGCCUUUGCCUAUCAUGUAUGAGGUUCUGGGUUUGAAUCUCAGCACCACCU
RNAcentral lists this transfer RNA (72 nucleotides) under Ictidomys tridecemlineatus (thirteen-lined ground squirrel). RNAcentral describes it as "Spermophilus tridecemlineatus (thirteen-lined ground squirrel) tRNA". It matches the Rfam family "tRNA". From Rfam's summary of the family: Transfer RNA (tRNA) molecules are approximately 80 nucleotides in length. Their secondary structure includes four short double-helical elements and three loops (D, anti-codon, and T loops). Further hydrogen bonds mediate the characteristic L-shaped molecular structure. tRNAs have two regions of fundamental functional importance: the anti-codon, which is responsible for specific mRNA codon recognition, and the 3' end, to which the tRNAs corresponding amino acid is attached (by aminoacyl-tRNA synthetases). tRNAs cope with the degeneracy of the genetic code in two manners: having more than one tRNA (with a specific anti-codon) for a particular amino acid; and 'wobble' base-pairing, i.e. permitting non-standard base-pairing at the 3rd anti-codon position. The record is from Rfam by way of RNAcentral. Lineage: Eukaryota; Metazoa; Chordata; Mammalia; Rodentia; Sciuridae.